This 60-nucleotide non-coding RNA is filed under the name Micropruina glycogenica. RNAcentral describes it as "Actino-pnp". It matches the Rfam family "Actino-pnp RNA". Lineage: Bacteria; Bacillati; Actinomycetota; Actinomycetes; Propionibacteriales; Nocardioidaceae. The record is from RNAcentral.
CUCGGUCCUCGGUAGUGGCUUUCGGGUCGAGAACCCCGCGGGCCUCGAUCGAAGACCGGG